This 474-nucleotide long non-coding RNA is filed under the name Brassica napus (rape). Its description in RNAcentral is "long non-coding RNA (BNAP_LNC016108)". Lineage: Eukaryota; Viridiplantae; Streptophyta; Magnoliopsida; Brassicales; Brassicaceae. The record is from RNAcentral.
AGUGUCUUAGAUAACAUAAGGGUGAGAAAAACCUUGGUGGAGUUGCGGGCGAUGACUCUCAAGGAGAGAUAGAGGCUAGGACCUCUCAAGGAGAGAUAUGGGAAAUGAGUCUUUUGGAGAGAUGACGGCGAGAACCCUUGUAGAGAGAGAGAGGAUGUGAGAGGACGUGAGAGAGAGAGAGAGAGAGAGAGAGAGAGAGAGGAGGUGAGAUUAGGAGAAGAGGGCGAGGACUAUAGGAGAGCAAGAAUUGGCUAGGAUAAGAGAGAGGGGAGGAGAGAAAAAAUUGAGCGAGGACUAGAGAGAGAUCAGGCGAGGACUGAGGAGGGUCCUUACUAGCUCUCGUCAUCUUAUUUCGUUUUUCGUUGAUGGUUUCAUAUGAAUUUUUUUUGGUUUCCCGAAGGUUGUUUCGUAAAUCAUUGAGUUUCAUUUGAUUUUACAAAAAUUAUCUUCAGAAAAAUUUGUUUUGUUUUAUUC